Cyclopterus lumpus (lumpfish) is the source of this 1703-nucleotide long non-coding RNA. RefSeq lists it as uncharacterized. The record is from RefSeq and is a predicted model, not a curated record. The transcript has 4 exons. Lineage: Eukaryota; Metazoa; Chordata; Actinopteri; Perciformes; Cyclopteridae.
GCCACGACGACGAUAUCGUCCAUCUUGGCUUUCUGCUUCGCCGGAGACGGCACCACUGCAACGACAGAACCCCCGUUAACACCGACAGGCAGUAGUUACUUCACGUCGCCUCAUCCUGUUGCAAUCAGAUCACUAGCUGACAUUCAUUGUUACCCCGGGGCGCAGCUGGAACCGUACCUUGCCUAUGUUGGUGUUGUCCAGCGCGGCGUCCACCUCGUCCAAGAUGAAGAAGGGAGCAGGACGGAAGCUGAAGGACGAAACACCAAACAAGUGUCAAGCUUGUACGGAGUCGGUGACCCAGGUCACAUGUUAAGAGCCACAGACGUUAAAAACUAACACAAGUAUUAGAAAAGAUGGAACAAGUGAGAGGAGAGGAGAUGCAGUUCAUUGCCAAAAGGUUUUUAGUACAAAAGAAAAUUGGACAGAAGUAGCAGCAACUGGGAGAUUCCCAGUGUCUCUUUAGAAAAGAGUUCUCUGCAUAAAGUUAAUGUGUGUGCAAGAGGAGAGGAUCAAGAGGCUCUCCAAAUAUCAUAACCUUUACUUUAAUAGUCCAUUCAUCAGUUUAAAAACUCAAAGUACCCAAAGUCUGCUGGUUUCUUCCCCCCCGAAAAGUUUCUGUAAGAUGUUUCGUGGCGUUAACAGCUGUGCUAAUUCCUUUUUUGUGUUGCUUUUUUCUAGCUAGGAGACGUAACUAUCCAGCUGUCCAGCUCACACUUUUUUUUUUGUUAAAUGAUUUUGGGGGAAAUAGGAUCUCGGUGAUUCAAUCCGUCAGUACAGAUUUAUUAAUUGUUAUUUGGUGCUUUUAUGUGCAAUUCUUUGUAUGUCAAGUUGAUGUUUACCCUCUGCUUUUACACUAACCACAGUUUCCAGUUUCCCCUAUUAUAAUUUAAUUUUAAAGCAUUCGUGUAGCCGAGGGCGUUGCAAUCUGUACAGUGCACAACAUCCUCUGUCCUUGGGACCCUCGGAUGGGAAAAACGUAACAAAAAAAACAAACAUAAUCUCAUAUCUUGUAUUAUAUAUUGUUUUCUUCGACGUGAGCGUCACACCUGUGGAUGGCGAACACCAGGGCGAGGGCGGCGAUGGCCUUUUCUCCACCGGACAGAUUGUCCAUGGACAUGAAGCGUUUCCCCGGCGCCACGCAGUUGUAGUUGAUGCCUCCGAGAUACGGCUCUUCUGGAUUCUCCGCACUCAGGAUGGCCUGGAGCACAGAUGGCAGGAUCUUGGUCAUUCGAGCCCAGUGGAACAGACGGCACUGAGAGGAGAUGAUGAGGCGCGAUGUCUCGACCGUGAGUUCUGCGUCCAGGCCAGAGUAGUCGAUGAGGAGUCGUGCCUCUCUCUCGAAGAUGUUCAAGGUGGUUGAAGUGCUUUCAGAUUCAGUGUCCAGCUGCACGGCGGAGAGAAAAUCAGGUUCCCCGACAGCAGAAUGAUGGGCAGACCCUGGAUCUUGCAGGCCAGCAGCAUGUUGUGCCUGGCCAAGCGCUUCUGCUCCAAGGCCGACUCUGCAGACAUCACCUCCCGCUGGAGCUUCACCAACUCUCUGUGAGGGAGAUCGGGAAGAGAAAACUGAAAGCCAAAAGUAGAUUGGAAUGUUAUGUUUUCCCUGAAAACAGAGAUUAUGAAUUGGCAGCAUAUCUCUCUACUGUCAGGAAUAGAAAGCAGGAUAGAUCCUAACCAAGUCCAGGCCCGGUGACCACAAACUGGAC